Long non-coding RNA from Selaginella moellendorffii, 334 nucleotides. RefSeq lists it as uncharacterized. The record is from RefSeq and is a predicted model, not a curated record. The transcript has 2 exons. Lineage: Eukaryota; Viridiplantae; Streptophyta; Lycopodiopsida; Selaginellales; Selaginellaceae.
CUCACACCAAGUCUCACACGAGAUAUGGCGAACAUCGAUCGAGGAGAAAGGAGUUUGCGGCGGUUUCAACCGGAUCACUGAGGGCGAGCUGAGAGCCCUUCUCGGCGCAUGCACUCCAUCUCUGGUCGUCUCUGCGUGGGAGCUCAUGGAGCUCACCAGCUCUGUCAUCGUCGUGCGUGAGCAGAUCCGUGGCGCAAAUCCAGUCUGUGACACGUUCUUCGUUGAUCACAAGGGGGGAAGGUGGAGCUCCUCUCCACUAAAUCCCUUUGAGCUGGAGGCUCUUUGUUUCUCAAUCGUUUGUUUUGUUCCAUGAAUAAAUUUUUUUUUGCGCCAU